AUAAUGCACUCUAGGGGGGUGAGAAGCCCCGACCGGGGUUCGACAACUGGCGCAGCCAGUUGGACAGACCACGAACGCAGUGAGUGGGCUGCCCGCAGGGCGAGCGAAGCGAGUCAUUCCCCCCUCACCGCCA
This 133-nucleotide small RNA is filed under the name Escherichia coli. RNAcentral's name for it is "RtT RNA". The record is from RNAcentral. Lineage: Bacteria; Pseudomonadati; Pseudomonadota; Gammaproteobacteria; Enterobacterales; Enterobacteriaceae.